UUAGUCGUGUAUCCUUCCGCCACUGCUAUUUCUGCGAUUUCUGCUACUUCCGCGAUUUCUGUGACCUGCUACUUCUGCGAUUUCUGUGACUUCUGCUACUUCUGCGAUUUCUGCUACUUCUGCGAUUUCUGUGACUCCUGCGAUUUCUGCGACUUACCACCGUAUGAAAAAGUUACAUCUGCCCACACAGAAAAUUGCAUCUCAACAAACUUGUCAUUGGUACCUGAACUACAUUUCAGUCACUCAGUAAAUUGAUAACUCAAAAUAUCAUUGUCAACAGAUCUGGAGAAAUUGCCACUCCGUCUUUAGACCGUUUUCGUCAGACGAGAGACACACUUCUCACUCUUGAUUACUGGUUGCUGUACGUACCUAUCCACAUCAAGGCUGUUGAGAGAGACUCGUGAAGAUUCAAGACAGCUCUUAGAGGAUUUGCAGUUUAAAAGUGACAUAAUUGUGAAAUAAGUGUGCAGAUGAGUGAUUAAACUGUGUUUUAUUGAAGUUGUUAUGCGAUUUUAAAGGAAUGAUAAAUGUUGAAUACAGUGAGUGAAUAAUGAAAAUCUCAUUUUCCUCAUGUUUAAGCCGUCCUAUACCUGUAAUUUUCCGCCAUUUAUUUACUGAUAAGCACUAGUUGGAGAGUGACACGCCGCCGCCGCCCCUCCCCCUUCUUCACAAUCUUGGUGUGACACUGACCUUUAACACAGCCCAAAGUCUACAAUAUGCAUUUUGAGGUUGUUGAUAUGAAAGUGGGAAGUACAGAUCUUCCAGUUAAAUCAGGAAUAGCUUAAGUGCAGUACUUGAAAGUAACACAGGAAAAGCUUACUUAUGUAGGUGGUAGUAGUGUCGGCAAAAAGUUCGUGUGUGUGAAGUUGCCAUGUAGAACACCAGGUGUAAAACUUUUACCGCGAGCCUUGAACUGUGUCGGAAUAAAAGUGAGGCAUUCAUAUGACCCAAUAAUGCUGUUUUCAUUUCACUGCACUUAUACAGAUGUCUGAGUUCUGCUGUGUUAACAUUGCAAAGUUCUGUAGGCAUGUGAAGUAUUAACCAAAACUGUCAUAUUGG
Long non-coding RNA from Schistocerca gregaria, 1059 nucleotides. RefSeq lists it as uncharacterized. The transcript has 3 exons. The record is from RefSeq and is a predicted model, not a curated record. Lineage: Eukaryota; Metazoa; Arthropoda; Insecta; Orthoptera; Acrididae.